RNAcentral lists this long non-coding RNA (2982 nucleotides) under Podarcis lilfordi (Lilford's wall lizard). The record is from RNAcentral. Lineage: Eukaryota; Metazoa; Chordata; Lepidosauria; Squamata; Lacertidae.
GAUCUCUGGGCUCAGGAAUAAGGGAAGGGAGAGCCAGAGUGAAAGAAUGCAGCUUAUCAGCCCAGACAGUGACCCAGACCCAGAAAUAUUGGCAGUGCCCUCUCCAAAAUCUUGUAAGAUCAUGAGACUUUACGAGAAGCGUGAAAAGGAAAGGAAGAGAAGGUAGGGGUUUUCCUGUUGGGGGAAAAAGGGGGCAGGGCUUAGUUCCAGCAACUGUGCUAUCUGAGGAUGAUGGCGAUUAGCUGAGUUCCGACCUGGUUUGUUUGUUUGAACAAUAAAUCUGAAAUAAUUGACUGCCGGAGUGGUCUCGCAUUUGUGGGAGAGACCCAGGCCAUUACAGUUGGGCAGUGAAUGACCCCUGUCUGAAACCAUAGAAAACUACUAUCAGUGCAAACAAUGAUAAGCUUAAUGGACCAAUCGCCUGACUCAGUAUUAGGCAGCUUCUUAUGUCUCAGAUCUGGGACUUUCACAUAAUCUGCUACCUGAUCCCAGAACUUGUUGCAUGUGAAGCAUGUGCUCAGCAGCCCUGAUAUGAUAGAGGCAUAGUGCAGAGAAAGCACAAGAGUAAAGAAAGAGCCAAUAGAAAAUGCAGGGGACUGAAACAUUUGGCAUUGCAAAUGUGGAUUUGGUCUUCAGAACAUGCCUAGAUGGAAGUUUUGAAGAGAGGCUAAGUGUACACAUCUCUCUCCUGCAACCUGUGUAGGCUGGCAUCACCAGUCCAUGUGAGAGGUUUCUCUCCCACCUCUAUCUGCAGCACAGAUUGAAGGGGUAGAGGAUCCUCACUGGCAAUCUGCAUUGAGUAGAGCAGCUACGUAACGGCUCAAAAGGAAGUAUGUCACAGUUUGCAGAGGCAAGUUUUGGUGCUUCACAGACAGAGUUUGGAAUAGAAGACUGAAAUAGAAAGCUGUCAUACAGCAUUUAAUAUUUUAACAUGGAAAGGCUGGAAUAUGCCUGAUAAAAUAGCAACAACAACAAAAACAUGGUAGUAUGCUGUUCAAGGGGUGGGGAAGCAUAUCUAAAGUUGGGCAUAUCUAAAGUUGCACAUUGGAUCUCAGCCAUUUUCUUUAUUAAAUUGUUGUUAUGGAAUAUUAAAGUUCACUGAGAAAUUUCUGCACUCAGCUUAUACCUGACCUUUCCCUUUGUCCUAAGCUAUGUGUUAAUUAUUGGAUUGUCCUUUACUUAAUAAAGGACUUCAUCCUAUCUACUCAAAACAUAUCCAGAAUCCUCUUUUAGGGUCUAGGAACCUAGAUAAGAAGACUGCUAACUGCAAGGCAAUAUAGGAUAUUAAAUUUCAUUGGUGCAUUCAUCCCUCUGCCCUUAAUAUAUAUUUUUUGCUUUAGGAUAUUAGAUAUUGUUGGUCAUUGAGAUAUAGCUGUACUUUUUAUUAUUGACUCCAGUUUUAUUUAAAUCCUAAUCUCUUAAAUCCCAGCCUCAUGGGUGCACGACAUGAAGCUCCACCUUAGCCUUCGACAACCUGGUGCCUUCAAGAUGGGACUGAUGUGAUUUGCAGUCCAGAACAUCUGCAUGGCACUGAGCUGGCUAAUGAAGGCUGUUCUGCUUUGUGCACCUGACUCACCAAAGUCAGAAGGGCAUAAUAUGGCGUUUUUGAAUUUACGUGGGGAUACCCACAUGAAAUACAAAGGUCCAUAAACUAAAACAAAUUUGGGGGGAAAUCCUAUGUGAAUUAAAUAAUCUGAUGAUUAGAGCUUACUCACUGAUAUUUUGCAGGUUUGUUAUUGUUGCUGUGUUAACUAUGCCACAAGUAGACAAUGAAAUUAUGAAGUGUCAUAGACUCUACAACCUUUCUCUGGAAAAGGACACCCUGUGUCUAAAUUCAAGCAGCUUUCUCUUAUUGUCAUUUCUGAUCAGCUUCUUGAGAGCCUCUGUAUUCUGCAAGAAUCAACAGUAAAAUGUUAAGUGUUCAGUCAUUAAAAAAUCAUUUGAUAUUCAUUGAAACACUAUUAAUCAUCACACAUUCAUUUGGCAUUCAUGGGGCUGUCACACGGACUUCUCUAGGAGUUCAGUUAUAAUAUGCAUUAGCUAAUGAGCAUAUAAAGCAUUCCUGAAUCAACAUAGCAGCACAACAUUUUUCUUAUUUGCAUUAUUCAUGUUCGGUAGAUUUUAGGGUUGCAAUAGCUGAGGCAUACUUUUGGCUUUUCUGGGGGGGAAAUUGAGGCAGCUGCUAUCAAUAUAUUUACUUAUGAGAGCCCAACGAUUUGUGUGUUAGCUAACAGCUGCCCUGCAUGCCUGGAACUUUGCCAUUUCAAUGUGUUUCUGUUGUCAGAAUUGAAGCAGAAUGUACAAUGCAGUAUAGGUCUUUAGAUCCAUGAGUGCCUCUUUGUGGGCAGUCUGCUGUACAUCAUCAAGCUACUGAUGCGAUUUGCUUCUAAGUAAGAGGCACUUGCUUUCACAGUGUUAAAGAAAUCUUUCAAUAUUUAUGAAUGUAGCAAUCUGGUUUAAUUGUGAAGAAGAAUGCUUGUGUUUGCCCCCAGUUAUAAGAAGCCUGAUGUCCUUCGUUAUGAAAAGCACAUUCUGGAUUCAGGCACAUGACCCUUCCUGCUUGGAUGUAUCAACCGAAUGUUUAGUGGUGACCUUUAGAAGCUGCCAUUAAUCCUUCAUCUAUGAAUUGGGGAGGGGGGAUAAAGGCUAUUGUGCUUUUGCUAACAUUUUCUGUAACAUUUUAUUUUCUCCUCUUUGUCUCAUAGUGUGGCCGUGUUCCAGGAAAGUGUGCAAGUAUGGGUGUUUCCAGACUGUCAAUAUUUGGGGGUGGAAUUCAGACGUAUACCAGCAAAGUCAGGUUCCAUAAUUAAAAGUUGAUUUAGAGCUCCUGCACAACAGAACUACUUCCCUGCACCCCCUCCCCACAACCCUGUCCAGGCAAAAAUAAUUCCACACUUCUUGCAGUAAGGAAAGUGAUAAGUAAACCCCCUGGAGAGUAUAGGAUAAUAUUUUCUUAACACAACAUCUCUGAACCUCCCUGCC